This 465-nucleotide ribosomal RNA is filed under the name Vreelandella stevensii. RNAcentral's name for it is "partial 16S ribosomal RNA". It matches the Rfam family "Bacterial small subunit ribosomal RNA", at positions 338 to 795 of the family's 1533-position model. Lineage: Bacteria; Pseudomonadati; Pseudomonadota; Gammaproteobacteria; Oceanospirillales; Halomonadaceae. The record is from RNAcentral.
CCUACGGGUGGCAGCAGUGGGGAAUAUUGGACAAUGGGCGAAAGCCUGAUCCAGCCAUGCCGCGUGUGUGAAGAAGGCCUUCGGGUUGUAAAGCACUUUCAGUGGGGAAGAAAGCCUUGGGGCUAAUACCCUCGAGGAAGGACAUCACCCACAGAAGAAGCACCGGCUAACUCCGUGCCAGCAGCCGCGGUAAUACGGAGGGUGCGAGCGUUAAUCGGAAUUACUGGGCGUAAAGCGCGCGUAGGCGGUCUGAUAAGCCGGUUGUGAAAGCCCCGGGCUCAACCUGGGAACGGCAUCCGGAACUGUCAGGCUAGAGUGCAGGAGAGGAAGGUAGAAUUCCCGGUGUAGCGGUGAAAUGCGUAGAGAUCGGGAGGAAUACCAGCGGCGAAGGCGGCCUUCUGGACUGACACUGACGCUGAGGUGCGAAAGCGUGGGUAGCAAACAGGAUUAGAUACCCCGGUAGUC